GACGAACGCUGGCGGCGUGCUUAACACAUGCAAGUCGAACGGAAAGGCCCUGCUUUUGUGGUGUGCUUGAGUGGCGAACGUGUGUGUCACAUGUGUGUCAUCUGCCCUUGACUUUGGUAUAACUUCAGGAAACUGGGUCUUAUACCGGAUAGGAGCUCCUGCUGCAUGGUGGGUUUUGGAAAGUUUUCGCGGUUGGGGAUGGACUCGCGGCUUAUCAGCUUGUUGGUGGGGUAGUGGCUUACCAAGGCGUUGACGGGUAGCCGGCCUGAGAGGGUGACCGGCCACAUUGGGACUGAGAUACGGCCCAGACUCCUACGGGAGGCAGCAGUGGGGAAUAUUGCACAAUGGGCGGAAGCCUGAUGCAGCAACGCCGCGUGAGGGAUGACGGCCUUCGGGUUGUAAACCGCUUUCGCCAGGGAAGAAGCGUGAGUGACGGUAAUGGGUAAAGAAGCACCGGCUAACUACGUG
This 468-nucleotide ribosomal RNA is filed under the name uncultured bacterium. RNAcentral describes it as "partial 16S ribosomal RNA". It matches the Rfam family "Bacterial small subunit ribosomal RNA", at positions 28 to 507 of the family's 1533-position model. The record is from RNAcentral.